GAUGAAGAACGUAGCGAAAUGCGAUACGUAAUGUGGAUUGCAGAAUUCAGUGAAUCAUCGAGUCUUUGAACGCACAUUGCGCCCUCUGGUAUUCCGGAGGGCAUGCCUGUCCGAGCGUCAUUGCUGCCCUCAAGCACGGCUUGUGUGUUGGGCCCCGCCCCCCGAUCCCGGGGGGCGGGCCCGAAAGGCAGCGGCGGCACCGCGUCCGGUCCUCGAGCGUAUGGGGCUUUGUCACCCGCUCUGUAGGCCCGGCCGGCGCUUGCCGAUCAACCAAACUUUUUUCCAGGUUGACCUCGGAUCAGGUAGGGAUACCCGCUGAACUUAAGCAUAUCAAUAAGCGGAGGA
Molecule: unclassified non-coding RNA, 345 nt
Filed under: soil metagenome
Description: partial contains 5.8S ribosomal RNA, internal transcribed spacer 2, and large subunit ribosomal RNA
Rfam family: 5.8S ribosomal RNA (bases 1-120)
Source: RNAcentral